GACGAACGCUGGCGGCGUGCUUAACACAUGCAAGUCGAGCGGUAAGGCCUUUCGGGGUACACGAGCGGCGAACGGGUGAGUAACACGUGGGUGAUCUGCCCUGCACUUCGGGAUAAGCCUGGGAAACUGGGUCUAAUACCGGAUAUGACCUCCUAUCGCAUUGUGGGUGGUGGAAAGAUUUAUCGGUGCAGGAUGGGCCCGCGGCCUAUCAGCUUGUUGGUGGGGUAAUGGCCUACCAAGGCGACGACGGGUAGCCGACCUGAGAGGGUGACCGGCCACACUGGGACUGAGACACGGCCCAGACUCCUACGGGAGGCAGCAGUGGGGAAUAUUGCACAAUGGGCGAAAGCCUGAUGCAGCGACGCCGCGUGAGGGAUGACGGCCUUCGGGUUGUAAACCUCUUUCAGCAGGGACGAAGCGCAAGUGACGGUACCUGAAGAAGAAGCACCGGCUAACUACGUG
Molecule: ribosomal RNA, 462 nt
Filed under: uncultured bacterium
Lineage: Bacteria
Description: partial 16S ribosomal RNA
Rfam family: Bacterial small subunit ribosomal RNA
Source: RNAcentral